Molecule: ribosomal RNA, 464 nt
Filed under: uncultured bacterium
Lineage: Bacteria
Description: bacterial SSU rRNA
Rfam family: Bacterial small subunit ribosomal RNA
Source: RNAcentral
CCAGACUCCUACGGGAGGCAGCAGUGAGGAAUAUUGGUCAAUGGGCGAGAGCCUGAACCAGCCAAGUCGCGUGAGGGAGUACUGCCCUAUGGGUUGUAAACCUCUUUUGUCGGGGAGCAAAAGCCGGACGUGUCCGCCUGUGAGAGUACCCGAAGAAAAAGCAUCGGCUAACUCCGUGCCGGCAGCCGCGGUAAUACGGAGGAUGCGAGCGUUAUCCGGAUUUAUUGGGUUUAAAGGGUGCGCAGGCGGAAGAUCAAGUCAGCGGUCAAAUCGUGGGGCUCAACCCCAUCCAGCCGUUGAAACUGGUUUUCUUGAGUGAGUGAGAAGUAUGCGGAAUGCGUGGUGUAGCGGUGAAAUGCAUAGAUAUCGCGCAGAACUCCGAUUGCGAAGGCAGCAUGCCGGCUCCACACUGACGCUGAGGCACGAAAGCGUGGGUAUCGAACAGGAUUAGAUACCCUAGUAUU